GACGAACGCUGGCGGCGUGCUUAACACAUGCAAGUCGAACGGAAAGGCCCUGCUUUUGUGGGGUGCUCGAGUGGCGAACGGGUGAGUAACACGUGAGUAACCUGCCCUUGACUUUGGGAUAACUUCAGGAAACUGGGGCUAAUACCGGAUAGGAGCUCCUGCUGCAUGGUGGGGGUUGGAAAGUUUCGGCGGUUGGGGAUGGACUCGCGGCUUAUCAGCUUGUUGGUGGGGUAGUGGCUUACCAAGGCUUUGACGGGUAGCCGGCCUGAGAGGGUGACCGGCCACAUUGGGACUGAGAUACGGCCCAGACUCCUACGGGAGGCAGCAGUGGGGAAUAUUGCACAAUGGGCGGAAGCCUGAUGCAGCAACGCCGCGUGCGGGAUGACGGCCUUCGGGUUGUAAACCGCUUUCGCCUGUGACGAGGCGUGAGUGACGGUAAUGGGUAAAGAAGCACGGGCUAACUACGUG
Molecule: ribosomal RNA, 468 nt
Filed under: uncultured bacterium
Lineage: Bacteria
Description: partial 16S ribosomal RNA
Rfam family: Bacterial small subunit ribosomal RNA
Source: RNAcentral